This is a long non-coding RNA of Globicephala melas (long-finned pilot whale), 957 nucleotides long. RefSeq lists it as uncharacterized. NCBI's taxonomy places the organism in Eukaryota, Metazoa, Chordata, Mammalia, Artiodactyla, Delphinidae. The record is from RefSeq and is a predicted model, not a curated record.
GGCUGCCUUUUUCCUCAGAUGGAGGCAUUCCAAGAGCCCACUGGGUCUGUCUGUUGUGGAAGAGACUGAGCUGCUUCUGUAGUUGCAGGUACGCCGGGCAGGCAAACCUAUUCCUGCCAGAGCCUUUGUCUGCUCAGUAGCUAUUUGAAUGGAAUGAUUCAAGAAGGGAAAGGAGACAGGAUGGAGGUUGGAAGAAUCAAGAGACCAGUUCUGAGUGAUAUUUUAUACUUUAUCUAAUGACUAUGGACUCCAGGCUUUUUGUGAACUGAGAGCUAAUCUAGGCCAUCCGCGGUCAUGUCCCUAACACGGCAGAAACGGGUCUUUUGCAUCGGGCCUAUCAGAGCUGCUGUGAGGAUGGAGUUUCUUGGCCUCUUGGUCCCCAGCCAGGGGGCUCCAGCUUCAAGUGUAUAAUGCUGCUGCCCACAUUCCUGCUCUUUCCAUCCCAUAUCCCCUUCCCUCCAUCUGGCCCCAGCCUUCUUUCCUCACCUCUCUAUCUGCAACCUUGCUUACUUAUGGAAGAGGUGGGGGUGGGGAGUGGGGGAGGGACUGGUCGAGGAUGUGGUGAACAGGAGGCCCAGGACUUGCAGUGUUGGUCCCCUAACCCCUCCUGGAAAAACCCUGCAGCAAGAGGCAGCACCAGGGGCUUGCAGCUCACCUGUGGAGUUUGGAGGGCGGGGUAAAAGCUGAUCGAGGCCCACUCUGCUGGGAGGUGGAACCUGGAAUAGGCCUCAGCACAGUUGCAUAACCGGCUGUGGUCUGCGAAGGCCUCGCUCCCAACCUCACACGCUCCUCCCUCUGAAGCUGCCACACGCAGCCAGGGCAGCUGACGGUGGAAGGAGUCCCAGAAGGAGUCCCAGGUUGAAACGUGUCUCAAGGAAGGUGGGGACGGGAAGCAUUUGUACAAAGGCUACACAUCUGUGUAAACAGUGUUUUUGAAUAAAAUAUUUUUUUCAUAAA